RNAcentral lists this long non-coding RNA (530 nucleotides) under Zostera marina. Its description in RNAcentral is "long non-coding RNA (ZMAR_LNC005515)". Lineage: Eukaryota; Viridiplantae; Streptophyta; Magnoliopsida; Alismatales; Zosteraceae. The record is from RNAcentral.
UGGCUGACAUCGGGUUCAACAGGGAGAGGUAUAAGCGGAAAUGCAGAACGGCAGGCAUUGCACCAAUGGGAUGCCUUGCUUAAUUAUGCUCAUCCAUGGGAAGGAUGAAGAAAGUUAGCCAAGGUUAACUGUGGAAAGGAGGAAGAUAGGUUAAUUAGCUUAAGCACUUUUACUUUAUUUUAUAUUAACUGCCUUUAAUUGUCUAAACUCUCCUUAAAUUAAAUGCGAAAGUAACCUUCAACAAAAAAAUCUUUCGAUACAGAAAAUCACACGUGACAGAACAAAAUUUUUGUUUCAAUUCUGCAGAAAUUGUGCUUGGGUAUUAAAAAAUUGUCAUCUUUUCCCUGAUUCAUUUUUCAAAUCAUCUUUUAUAAAACGUCGAUGAAAAAUAUUUUAAAUUGUGCCAGAUCCCUUCUUAUAAAUCUCUUUGCAUUGCUAUUUAAUGUUGAGCUAUAAGUUUUUUCAGCAGGCAACAUUGGGUCAGAACUGUAAUGGGUUGUUUUUGCCGGAGAAGAAGACAAUAUGGGAAC